UACGAAGGGGGCUAGCGUUGUUCGGAAUCACUGGGCGUAAAGGGUGCGUAGGCGGGUCUUUAAGUCAGGGGUGAAAUCCUGGAGCUCAACUCCAGAACUGCCUUUGAUACUGGCGAUCUUGAGUCCGGGAGAGGUGAGUGGAACUGCGAGUGUAGAGGUGAAAUUCGUAGAUAUUCGCAAGAACACCAGUGGCGAAGGCGGCUCACUGGCCCGGUACUGACGCUGAGGUGCGAAAGCGUGGGGAGCAAACAGG
RNAcentral lists this ribosomal RNA (253 nucleotides) under uncultured bacterium. RNAcentral describes it as "partial 16S ribosomal RNA". It matches the Rfam family "Bacterial small subunit ribosomal RNA", at positions 524 to 776 of the family's 1533-position model. The record is from RNAcentral.